GGGGAAUUUUGGACAAUGGGGGCAACCCUGAUCCAGCCAUUCCGCGUGAGUGAAGAAGGCCUUCGGGUUGUAAAGCUCUUUCGGCAGGAACGAAACGGUCUCUCCUAAUACGAGUGGCUAAUGACGGUACCUGAAGAAGAAGCACCGGCUAACUACGUGCCAGCAGCCGCGGUAAUACGUAGGGUGCGAGCGUUAAUCGGAAUUACUGGGCGUAAAGCGUGCGCAGGCGGCUCUAUAAGACAGAUGUGAAAUCCCCGGGCUCAACCUGGGAACUGCGUUUGUGACUGUAGGGCUCGAGUGUGGCAGAGGGGGGUGGAAUUCCACGUGUAGCAGUGAAAUGCGUAGAGAUGCGGAGGAACACCGAUGGCGAAGGCAGCCCCCUGGGUCAACACUGACGCUCAUGCACGAAAGCGUGGGUAGCAAAC
This 425-nucleotide ribosomal RNA is filed under the name uncultured bacterium. Its description in RNAcentral is "bacterial SSU rRNA". It matches the Rfam family "Bacterial small subunit ribosomal RNA", at positions 356 to 773 of the family's 1533-position model. The record is from RNAcentral.